GCGAGCGUAGCUCAAUGGUAGAGCGGUAGCUUCCCAAGCUACAUACGCGGGUUCGAUUCCCGUCGCUCGCU
Molecule: transfer RNA, 71 nt
Filed under: Actinomycetales bacterium
Lineage: Bacteria; Bacillati; Actinomycetota; Actinomycetes; Actinomycetales
Also listed under: 2 other names
Description: tRNA-Gly
Rfam family: tRNA
About the family: Transfer RNA (tRNA) molecules are approximately 80 nucleotides in length. Their secondary structure includes four short double-helical elements and three loops (D, anti-codon, and T loops).
Source: RNAcentral